Molecule: ribosomal RNA, 253 nt
Filed under: uncultured bacterium
Lineage: Bacteria
Description: partial 16S ribosomal RNA
Rfam family: Bacterial small subunit ribosomal RNA
Source: RNAcentral
UACGAAGGGGGCUAGCGUUGCUCGGAAUUACUGGGCGUAAAGGGCGCGUAGGCGGGUCGUUUAGUUAGAGGUGAAAGCCCAGGGCUCAACCCUGGAAUUGCCUUUAAUAUUGGCGGCCUUGAGUAUGGCAGAGGUGUGUGGAACUCCGAGUGUAGAGGUGAAAUUCGUAGAUAUCAGGAGGAACACCAAUGGCGAAGGCAGCUCGCUGGGACGUGACUGACGCUGAGACGCGAAAGCGUGGGGAGCAAACAGG